GGCGCAUUCGUCUAAUGGUUAGGACAGCAGGCCUUCAAUCUGUCAAUACGGGUUCGAUUCCCGUAUGCGCCGCAA
RNAcentral lists this transfer RNA (75 nucleotides) under Candidatus Nealsonbacteria bacterium CG_4_10_14_0_2_um_filter_38_17. RNAcentral's name for it is "tRNA-Glu". It matches the Rfam family "tRNA". Rfam says of the family: Transfer RNA (tRNA) molecules are approximately 80 nucleotides in length. Their secondary structure includes four short double-helical elements and three loops (D, anti-codon, and T loops). Further hydrogen bonds mediate the characteristic L-shaped molecular structure. tRNAs have two regions of fundamental functional importance: the anti-codon, which is responsible for specific mRNA codon recognition, and the 3' end, to which the tRNAs corresponding amino acid is attached (by aminoacyl-tRNA synthetases). tRNAs cope with the degeneracy of the genetic code in two manners: having more than one tRNA (with a specific anti-codon) for a particular amino acid; and 'wobble' base-pairing, i.e. permitting non-standard base-pairing at the 3rd anti-codon position. Lineage: Bacteria; Candidatus Nealsoniibacteriota. RNAcentral also lists the same sequence under 1 other name. The record is from RNAcentral.